This 810-nucleotide ribosomal RNA is filed under the name uncultured Pelagibacteraceae bacterium. RNAcentral's name for it is "bacterial SSU rRNA". It matches the Rfam family "Bacterial small subunit ribosomal RNA", at positions 33 to 891 of the family's 1533-position model. Lineage: Bacteria; Pseudomonadati; Pseudomonadota; Alphaproteobacteria; Candidatus Pelagibacterales; Candidatus Pelagibacteraceae. The record is from RNAcentral.
ACGCUGGCGGCACGCCUAACACAUGCAAGUCGAACGAAGUAGCAAUACUUAGUGGCAGACGGGUGAGUAACAUGUGGGUAUCUACCCUUUGGCCUGGAAUAACACGAGGAAACUUGUGCUAAUACUGGAUAAGUCUUUACGGAGAAAGCUUUAUGCACCAUUGGAUGAGCCCGCAUUUGAUUAGUUUGUUGGUGGGGUAAUGGCCUACCAAGACUUUGAUCAAUAGCUGAUUUGAGAGGAUGAUCAGCCACAUUGGGACUGAGACACGGCCCAAACUCCUACGGGAGGCAGCAGUGGGGAAUCUUGCACAAUGGAGGAAACUCUGAUGCAGCGAUGCCGCGUGAGUGAAGAAGGCCCUUGGGUUGUAAAGCUCUUUCGUCGGGGAAGAAAAUGACUGUACCCGAAUAAGAAGGUCCGGCUAACUUCGUGCCAGCAGCCGCGGUAAUACGAAGGGACCUAGCGUAGUUCGGAAUUACUGGGCUUAAAGAGUUCGUAGGUGGUUGAAAAAGUUGGUGGUGAAAUCCCAGAGCUUAACUCUGGAACUGCCAUCAAAACUUUUCAGCUAGAGUUUGAUAGAGGAAAGCAGAAUUUCUAGUGUAGAGGUGAAAUUCGUAGAUAUUAGAAAGAAUACCAAUUGCGAAGGCAGCUUUCUGGAUCAUUACUGACACUGAGGAACGAAAGCAUGGGUAGCGAAGAGGAUUAGAUACCCUCGUAGUCCAUGCCGUAAACGAUGUGUGUUAGACGUUGGAAAUUUAUUUUCAGUGUCGCAGCGAAAGCGAUAAACACACCGCCUGGGGAGUACGACCGCAA